AGCGAACGCUGGCGGCAGGCCUAACACAUGCAAAUCGAACGAACCUUUCGGGGUUAGUGGCGGACGGGUGAGUAACACGUGGGAACGUGCCUUUAGGUUCGGAAUAACUCAGGGAAACUUGUGCUAAUACCGAAUGUGCCCUUCGGGGGAAAGAUUUAUCGCCUUUAGAGCGGCCCGCGUCUGAUUAGCUAGUUGGUUGAGGUAAUGGCUCACCAAGGCGACGAUCAGUAGCUGGUCUGAGAGGAUGAUCAGCCACAUUGGGACUGAGACACGGCCCAAACUCCUACGGGAGGCAGCAGUGGGGAAUCUUGCGCAAUGGGCGAAAGCCUGACGCAGCCAUGCCGCGUGAAUGAUGAAGGUCUUAGGAUUGUAAAAUUCUUUCACCGGGGACGAUAAUGACGGUACCCGGAGAAGAAGCCCCGGCUAACUUCGUG
Molecule: ribosomal RNA, 434 nt
Filed under: uncultured bacterium
Lineage: Bacteria
Description: partial 16S ribosomal RNA
Rfam family: Bacterial small subunit ribosomal RNA
Source: RNAcentral